Long non-coding RNA from Armigeres subalbatus, 756 nucleotides. RefSeq lists it as uncharacterized. The record is from RefSeq and is a predicted model, not a curated record. Lineage: Eukaryota; Metazoa; Arthropoda; Insecta; Diptera; Culicidae. The transcript has 3 exons.
CCAAAAAAUCAACAAGAAAAAAUCCGAAUGUUUAUUGUUUGCAAUCUCAUGAAGUGGAGAACGAAAAAACUCGCAACUGAUGUUGCUUGCAUCUGGAUUCUAAAGUGUUGCUUAAUGCGAUUUUUUUAAGUUAUCUUCCCAUGGCGCGACCGCUUGAUUGCUGAUCUCUAAAUAGUUUCUGGCAUGCAACAUCUUGACCCAAUUCAUUCAAGGAACCAAAUACCUUGGCAUUGAUACAGCGAUAUGCCACCUUAUCUUCCCCAAUCCCGUGAUGUCAUCAAAACCCGGGCAAUCGGUGAUUUCAUUCAUGAGUCAUUUCAGCUGAACCACCCAUUCAACUGCAAUCAGAAGCUGCCCUGGAUGAUCUGACCUUGUUCUGCUGCUACCUCCCAGGUUGAUGCUCGAAAAGCCGUGCACCGUAAAAUAUCAACAACAUGUCAGAUACCCUUUUAUCGGUAGAAGGAUUCGAAAGUAGUUUGCCCUGAUUUUCCCUUCGUAUGAUUGGUUUAGAAUAACUAUGAGAGGUUUUUAAAUAAUGGACAGUUAAUAUUCACUACAGUCAGCAGAAAGCGCGAUGUUUCGGAUUUCCAAUUUGUUCCGUUUCAGGACAGAGAUAUUUUUUCCGAAACAUAUUGUAACAGUUAAUCAGAGCAAAUUGUCUGUGCUGAACCAAUUAGGAACCUGGCGUGAAGAUUGAACAUAUGAAGGACGAUUUUGCUAUUUACCUACCAAAUUAUAAAAAGCUUAAAUAAAUGU